Octodon degus (degu) is the source of this 243-nucleotide long non-coding RNA. RefSeq lists it as uncharacterized. The transcript is spliced from 3 exons. The record is from RefSeq and is a predicted model, not a curated record. Lineage: Eukaryota; Metazoa; Chordata; Mammalia; Rodentia; Octodontidae.
CCGCAGUUGCCUGCUGUGACGUCUGAACCUCAACAAUGAGUCAUCUACAAUGGAUCCUACCACUGGGAGUUUUCCUAGUUCUGGUCAAGACCAUCGAUGGCUGCUUUGGGACACCAGCAUCCAAGGAGGACCUACUCAAAUCCCUUUAUGCAGUUGGAUGCGGCCUUGAUGAAGCCUAUUCAGGUUCAUUAUCACAGGCUUGAGAUGGCUGAAAGGGAAAACUGGGCUGGAAUACAACCAGCU